CAGUAGCCGCGGUAAUACAGAGGGUGCGAGCGUUAAUCGGAUUUACUGGGCGUAAAGCGUGCGUAGGCGGCUUUUUAAGUCGGAUGUGAAAUCCCUGAGCUUAACUUAGGAAUUGCAUUCGAUACUGGGAAGCUAGAGUAUGGGAGAGGAUGGUAGAAUUCCAGGUGUAGCGGUGAAAUGCGUAGAGAUCUGGAGGAAUACCGAUGGCGAAGGCAGCCAUCUGGCCUAAUACUGACGCUGAGGUACGAAAGCAUGGGGAGCAAACAUGAUUAGAUACCCCAGUAGUCCCUGUCUCUUAUAC
Molecule: ribosomal RNA, 301 nt
Filed under: uncultured bacterium
Lineage: Bacteria
Description: partial 16S ribosomal RNA
Rfam family: Bacterial small subunit ribosomal RNA
Source: RNAcentral